UACGUAGGGUGCGAGCGUUAAUCGGAAUUACUGGGCGUAAAGCGUGCGCAGGCGGUUCUGUAAGCCAGAUGUGAAAUCCCCGGGCUUAACCUGGGAAUGGCAUUUGGGACUGCAAGGCUGGAGUGCGGCAGAGGAGACUGGAAUUCCUGGUGUAGCAGUGAAAUGCGUAGAUAUCAGGAGGAACACCGGUGGCGAAGGCGGGUCUCUGGGCAUGAUCUGACGCUGAGGAGCGAAAGUGUGGGGAGCGAACAGG
Molecule: ribosomal RNA, 253 nt
Filed under: uncultured bacterium
Lineage: Bacteria
Description: partial 16S ribosomal RNA
Rfam family: Bacterial small subunit ribosomal RNA
Source: RNAcentral